Molecule: ribosomal RNA, 251 nt
Filed under: uncultured bacterium
Lineage: Bacteria
Description: partial small subunit ribosomal RNA
Rfam family: Bacterial small subunit ribosomal RNA
Source: RNAcentral
AGGACGAACGCUGGCGGCGUGCUUAACACAUGCAAGUCGAGCGGAAAGGCCCUUCGGGGUACUCGAGCGGCGAACGGGUGAGUAACACGUGAGUAAUCUGCCCCUAGCUCUGGGAUAGCUCCGGGAAACCGGGAUUAAUACCAGAUACAACCACUUUAGACAUCUCUUGUGGUGGAAAGAAUUUCGGCUAGGGAUGAACUCGCGGCCUAUCAGCUUGUUGGUGAGGUAACGCUCACCAGGCGACGACGGUA